GUGGAUUAGAUACCCUAGUAGUCCACGCCCUAAACGAUGUCGACUGGUUGUUGGAAGGGUAACCUUUUAGUAACGAAGCUAACGCGUGAAGUCGACCGCCUGGGGAGUACGGUCGCAAGAUUAAAACUCAAAGGAAUUGACGGGGACCCGCACAAGCGGUGGAUGAUGUGGUUUAAUUCGAUGCAACGCGAAAAACCUUACCUACACUUGACAUGCCAGAAAUCCUGCAGAGAUGUGGGAGUGCCGCAAGGAAUCUGGGCACAGGUGCUGCACGGUCGUCGCCAGCU
RNAcentral lists this ribosomal RNA (287 nucleotides) under uncultured bacterium. RNAcentral's name for it is "partial 16S ribosomal RNA". It matches the Rfam family "Bacterial small subunit ribosomal RNA", at positions 773 to 1060 of the family's 1533-position model. The record is from RNAcentral.